Molecule: ribosomal RNA, 245 nt
Filed under: uncultured bacterium
Lineage: Bacteria
Description: partial 16S ribosomal RNA
Rfam family: Bacterial small subunit ribosomal RNA
Source: RNAcentral
GACGAAGGUGGCAAGCGUUGUUCGGAUUCAUUGGGCUUAAAGAGCACGUAGGCGGCCCUUCAAGUGUCUUGUGAAAUCCCUCGGCUCAACCGAGGAAUUGCUGGGCAUACUGUCGGGCUUGAGGUAGGUAAGGGCGAGUGGAACUCUUGGUGGAGCGGUGGAAUGCGUAGAUAUCAAGAGGAACGCCGGUGGUGAAGACGAUUCGCCAGGCCUAUCCUGACGCUGAGGUGCGAAAGCCAGGGGAG